UGCAGAUGAUGUAAGCGAAUAUUUGCUAUCAUAAUAUCAGUGAUGACAACUAUUAUCACCAAGAUCGCUGAUGCA
This is a small nucleolar RNA of Nerophis lumbriciformis (worm pipefish), 75 nucleotides long. RefSeq annotates it as small nucleolar RNA SNORD24. The record is from RefSeq and is a predicted model, not a curated record. Lineage: Eukaryota; Metazoa; Chordata; Actinopteri; Syngnathiformes; Syngnathidae.